UGUUUACAGGAUGGUAAAUGCUGAACACU
This 29-nucleotide non-coding RNA is filed under the name Rattus norvegicus (Norway rat). Lineage: Eukaryota; Metazoa; Chordata; Mammalia; Rodentia; Muridae. The record is from RNAcentral.